RNAcentral lists this transfer RNA (73 nucleotides) under Actinomycetota bacterium. Its description in RNAcentral is "Actinobacteria bacterium tRNA-Arg". It matches the Rfam family "tRNA". From Rfam's summary of the family: Transfer RNA (tRNA) molecules are approximately 80 nucleotides in length. Their secondary structure includes four short double-helical elements and three loops (D, anti-codon, and T loops). The record is from RNAcentral. Lineage: Bacteria; Bacillati; Actinomycetota.
GCCCCCGUAGCUCAGUGGAUAGAGCAACCGCCUCCUAAGCGGUAGGUCGCAGGUUCAACUCCCGCCGGGGACA